Molecule: ribosomal RNA, 825 nt
Filed under: uncultured microorganism
Description: bacterial SSU rRNA
Rfam family: Bacterial small subunit ribosomal RNA
Source: RNAcentral
AUGUACCUCUAGGUAAGGAAUAACGUCGGGAAACCGGCGCUAAUACCUUAUAAUGACUCCGGUCCAAAGAUUUAUCGCCUAGAGAUCAGCCCGCGUUAGAUUAGAUAGUUGGUGAGGUAACGGCUCACCAAGUCGACGAUCUAUAGGGGGUCUGAGAGGAUGAUCCCCCACACUGGUACUGAGACACGGACCAGACUCCUACGGGAGGCAGCAGUGAGGAAUAUUGGACAAUGGAGGAAACUCUGAUCCAGCCAUGCCGCGUGAGUGAAGAAGGCCUUAGGGUUGUAAAGCUCUUUCAAUUGUGAAGAUAAUGACGGUAGCAAUACAAGAAGCUCCGGCUAAAUUCGUGCCAGCAGCCGCGGUAAUACGAAUGGAGCAAGCGUUGUUCGGAAUCACUGGGCUUAAAGCGUAUGUAGGCGGACUUGAAAGUCAGAAGUGAAAUCCCGGGGCUCAACCCCGGAACUGCUUUUGAAACUCCAAGUCUAGAAUCCUGGAGAGGUUGGGAGAAUUCCGAGUGUAGAGGUGAAAUUCGCAGAUAUUCGGAGGAAUACCAGUGGCGUAGGCGCCCAACUGGACAGGUAUUGACGCUCAGAUACGAAAGCGUGGGGAGCAAACAGGAUUAGAUACCCUGGUAGUCCACACCGUAAACGAUGUGUGCUAGUUGUCAGGCCCAAAGGGUUUGGUGACGGAGAGAAAUCAUUAAGCACACCGCCUGGGGAGUACGGCCGCAAGGUUAAAACUCAAAGGAAUUGACGGGGACCCGCACAAGCGGUGGAGCAUGUUGUUUAAUUCGAAGCAACGCGAAGAACCUUACCCACACUUAAC